Molecule: ribosomal RNA, 372 nt
Filed under: uncultured bacterium
Lineage: Bacteria
Description: bacterial SSU rRNA
Rfam family: Bacterial small subunit ribosomal RNA
Source: RNAcentral
AGAGGUGGCAAGCGUUGUUCGGAAUUACUGGGCGUAAAGGGCGCGUAGGCGGCUCGACAAGUCCCGCGUGAAAGCCCCCGGCUCAACUGGGGAACUGCGCGGGAAACUGUCGGACUUGAGUUCGGGAGAGGGAAGCGGAAUUCCGGGUGUAGCGGUGAAAUGCGUAGACAUCCGGAGGAACACCGGUGGCGAAGGCGGCUUCCUGGACCGACACUGACGCUGAGGCGCGAAAGCUAGGGGAGCAAACGGGAUUAGAUACCCCGGUAGUCCUAGCCCUAAACGAUGAGCGCUGGGUGGUAGGGGGUUUUAACCCCCCCUGUGCCGAAGCUAACGCAUUAAGCGCUCCGCCUGGGGAGUACGGUCGCAAGGCUG